AAAGAAGCUGUAUGUGCGCAACGAAGCUGCUAACUUUGUUACAAGUGGUUGGAUCCAUUUUUCUUUA
RNAcentral lists this transfer RNA (67 nucleotides) under Mytilus californianus (California mussel). RNAcentral's name for it is "tRNA-Ser". Lineage: Eukaryota; Metazoa; Mollusca; Bivalvia; Mytilida; Mytilidae. The record is from RNAcentral.